GGAUGAACGCUAGCGGCGCGCUUAACGCAUGCAAGUCGAGCGAUGAGGCUCCCUUCGGGGGGUACAUCAGCGGCAGACGGGUGAGUAACACGUAGGUAACCUGCCCUCAAGACGGGGAUAACGCCUGGAAACGGGCGCUAAUACCGGAUGACCUUAGUUGGGGAAGCACCGGCUAAGGAAAGGCAAUAGCGCUUGAGGAGGGGCCUGCGGCCCAUCAGUUAGUUGGUAGGGUAACGGCCUACCAAUGCGAAGACGGGUAGGGGGUGUGAGAGCACGGCCCCCCACACUGGGACUGAGACACGGCCCAGACUCCUACGGGAGGCAGCAGCGGGGAAUAUUGCGCAAUGGACGGAAGUCAGACGCAGCGACGCCGCGUGGGUGAAGAAGGCCUUCGGGUUGUAAAGCCCUUUUCUGUGGGAAGAGGAAGGACGGUACCAUAGGAAUAAGCGUCGGCUAACUACGUGCCAGCAGCCGCGGUAAGACGUAGGACGCGAGCGUUAUCCGGAUUUACUGGGCGUAAAGCGUGUGUAGGCGGCGUGACAAGUUGGGCGUGAAAGCCCCGUGCUCAACGCGGGGAGGCCGCACAAUACUGUCAGGCUAGAGGGCAUCAGAGGGGUGUGGAAUUCCCGGAGUAGCGGUAAAAUGCGCAGAUAUCGGGAGGAACACCGGUGGCGAAAGCGGCACCCUGGGGUGCACCUGACGCUGAGAGACGACAGCUAGGGGAGCGAACAGGAUUCGAGACCCUGGUAGUCCUAGCCGUAAACGAUGGAUGCUAGGUGUGGGAGUGAAGAACUUCUGUGCCGCAGCGAACGCGAUAAGCAUCCCGCCUGGGGAGUACGGCCGCAAGGUUAAAACUCAAACGAAUUGACGGGGACCCGCACAAGCAGCGGAGCGUGUGGUUAACUUCGAUGCUACACGAAG
RNAcentral lists this ribosomal RNA (921 nucleotides) under uncultured organism. Its description in RNAcentral is "bacterial SSU rRNA". It matches the Rfam family "Bacterial small subunit ribosomal RNA", at positions 27 to 966 of the family's 1533-position model. The record is from RNAcentral.